AUUUAGAGGAAGUAAAAGUUGUAACAAGGUCUCCGUAGGUGAACCUGCGGAGGGAUCAUUACACAAAUAUGAAGGCGGGCUGGAACCUCUCGGGGUUACAGCCUUGCUGAAUUAUUCACCCUUGUCUUUUGCGUACUUCUUGUUUCCUUGGUGGGUUCGCCCACCACUAGGACAAACAUAAACCUUUUGUAAUUGCAAUCAGCGUCAGUAACAAAUUAAUAAUUACAACUUUCAACAACGGAUCUCUUGGUUCUGGCAUCGAUGAAGAACGCAGCGAAAUGCGAUAAGUAGUGUGAAUUGCAGAAUUCAGUGAAUCAUCGAAUCUUUGAACGCACAUUGCGCCCUUUGGUAUUCCAAAGGGCAUGCCUGUUCGAGCGUCAUUUGUACCCUCAAGCUUUGCUUGGUGUUGGGCGUCUUGUCUCUAGCUUUGCUGGAGACUCGCCUUAAAGUAAUUGGCAGCCGGCCUACUGGUUUCGGAGCGCAGCACAAGUCGCACUCUCUAUCAGCAAAGGUCUAGCAUCCAUUAAGCCUUUUUUUCAACUUUUGACCUCGGAUCAGGUAGGGAUACCCGCUGAACUUAAGCAUAUCAAUAAC
RNAcentral lists this ribosomal RNA (594 nucleotides) under fungal sp. MG180Sc2L10x. RNAcentral describes it as "eukaryotic LSU rRNA". The stretch from base 227 to 380 matches the Rfam family "5.8S ribosomal RNA". The record is from RNAcentral. Lineage: Eukaryota; Fungi.